GAAGAACGCAGCGAAAUGCGAUAAGUAAUGUGAAUUGCAGAAUUCAGUGAAUCAUCGAAUCUUUGAACGCACAUUGCGCCCGCCAGCAUUCUGGCGGGCAUGCCUGUUCGAGCGUCAUUU
This 120-nucleotide ribosomal RNA is filed under the name Colletotrichum gloeosporioides. RNAcentral describes it as "5.8S ribosomal RNA". It matches the Rfam family "5.8S ribosomal RNA", at positions 38 to 154 of the family's 154-position model. From Rfam's summary of the family: 5.8S ribosomal RNA (5.8S rRNA) is a component of the large subunit of the eukaryotic ribosome. It is transcribed by RNA polymerase I as part of the 45S precursor that also contains 18S and 28S rRNA. Lineage: Eukaryota; Fungi; Ascomycota; Sordariomycetes; Glomerellales; Glomerellaceae. The record is from RNAcentral.